UCCGAUUAACGCUUGCACCCUCCGUAUUACCGCGGCUGCUGGCACGGAGUUAGCCGGUGCUUCUUAUGCGAGUGAUGUCUUUCGUAAUGGGUAUUAACCACUAGGCGUUCUUCCUCGCUGAAAGUGCUUUACAACCCGAAGGCCUUCUUCACACACGCGGCAUGGCUGGAUCAGGCUUUCGCCCAUUGUUCAAUAUUCCCCACUGCUGCCUCCCGUAGGAGUUCGGGCCGUGUCUCAGUCCCGAUGUGGCUGAUCAUCCUCUCAGACCAGAUACGGAUUGUCGCCUUGGUGAGCCAUUACCUCACCAACUAGCUAAUCCGGCAUAGGCUCAUCCGAUAGCGCGAGCCGAAGCCCCCUUUCUCCCGUAGGCCGUAUGCGGUAUUAGCCUGAGUUUCCCCAGGUUAUCCCCCACUAUCGGGUAAAUUCCUAUGCAUUACUCACCCGUCCGCCGCUCGUCAGCAUCCAGCAAGCUGGAUGAGUUACCGCUAGACUUGCAUGUGUUAGGCCUGCCGCCAGCGUUCAAUGUGAGCCAGGAUCAAACUCU
This 544-nucleotide ribosomal RNA is filed under the name uncultured bacterium. RNAcentral's name for it is "partial 16S ribosomal RNA". The record is from RNAcentral.